RNAcentral lists this ribosomal RNA (468 nucleotides) under uncultured bacterium. RNAcentral describes it as "partial 16S ribosomal RNA". It matches the Rfam family "Bacterial small subunit ribosomal RNA", at positions 28 to 507 of the family's 1533-position model. The record is from RNAcentral.
GACGAACGCUGGCGGCGUGCUUAACACAUGCAAGUCGAACGGAAAGGCCCUGCUUUUGUGGGGUGCUCGAGUGGCGAACGGGUGAGUAACACGUGAGUAACCUACCCUUGACUUUGGGAUAACUUCAGGAAACUGGGGCUAAUACCGGAUAGGAGCUCCUGCUGCAUGGUGGGGGUUGGAAAGUUUCGGCGGUUGGGGAUGGACUCGCGGCUUAUCAGCUUGUUGGUGGGGUAGUGGCUUACCCAGGCUUUGACGGGUAGCCGGCCAGAGAGGGUGACCGGCCACGAUGGGACUGAGAAACGGCCCAGACUCCUACGGGAGGCAGCAGUGGGGAAGAUUGCACAAUGGGCGGAAGCCUGAUGCAGCAACGCCGCGUGCGGGAUGACGGCCUUCGGGUUGUAAACCGCUUUCGCCUGUGACGAAGCGUGAGUGACGGUAAUGGGUAAAGAAGCACCGGCUAACUACGUG